This 497-nucleotide ribosomal RNA is filed under the name uncultured bacterium. Its description in RNAcentral is "partial 16S ribosomal RNA". It matches the Rfam family "Bacterial small subunit ribosomal RNA", at positions 28 to 507 of the family's 1533-position model. The record is from RNAcentral.
GAUGAACGCUGGCGGCGUGCCUAAUACAUGCAAGUCGAGCGAACAGACGAGGAGCUUGCUCCUCUGACGUUAGCGGCGGACGGGUGAGUAACACGUGGAUAACCUACCUAUAAGACUGGGAUAACUUCGGGAAACCGGAGCUAAUACCGGAUAAUAUAUUGAACCGCAUGGUUCAAUAGUGAAAGACGGUUUUGCUGUCACUUAUAGAUGGAUCCGCGCCGCAUUAGCUAGUUGGUAAGGUAACGGCUUACCAAGGCGACGAUGCGUAGCCGACCUGAGAGGGUGAUCGGCCACACCGGAACUGAGACACGGUCCAGACUCCUACGGGAAGCAGCAGUAGGGAAUCUUCCGCAAUGGGCGAAAGCCUGACGGAGCAACGCCGCGUGAGUGAUGAAGGUCUUCGGAUCGUAAAACUCUGUUAUUAGGGAAGAACAAAUGUGUAAGUAACUAUGCACGUCUUGACGGUACCUAAUCAGAAAGCCACGGCUAACUACGUG